AUGUCAGGCAGAUCAGAGGACAGCUGAUUCAUUUAGGAUCUGGAACUUUUCCCUCUCUUGUGCUCUUAGGUUUUGUGAAGGGAUUCUGACUGCCAUGCUGGUUACUUUUUGUUUGUUUUUUGAGAAAAAUACCUUAAUGUUACCUAUGAGUUUUGGGAAGCUUUCUAAGUUUUCACUGGCUAAAAUGCCCCUUAUGUGAGAGAAGCGUCUGCUGUGUGAGAGGCAGAUCUUACGUAGUCAGGAGAAUGAUGAAACGGAGGAGAGAGAGACUGGGAGCACCGUGCCUGCGGAUUCAAAUCUCCACUCUCUGCCGAGGAGCCGACAUAACUCAGCACAUGUUUUCGCCCUCCUCGGCUCCAGCCCUCUCCCUGGCUAAAGCCCCAUUUAGUGCUGAUUGUGUGCUGUCUACUUCUCCUCUUGUCUUUUUUCUGAACCCUCAAGCCCACAGCAGUCCCUGCAGUCCCUGUUCCAGCCGCACACUGCAGUGGAGCAAAGCUCCGUGAAAAGCUUAUGCCUUCCCAGGCAUAAGCUAGGUGGAGAAUACUGUGAAAUGAGGUCCGAGGAGUAAUAUGGAGCUUUGAAGGCCAUUGUAUGUCUAUUUGUUUUUAUUCUGAGGGAGGUAAGUAGACAUGAAGUGUUUAAAGCACAAGAAUUUAUGGAUAUAGAGAGUCCUUUGAGACAGGCAUGAUGGCACAGCUGAAAUCUCAGUACUUGAGAAUUGCAAACAAGGAAGGUCAGGAGUUCAAGGCCAACCUGGAUACAUAGUGAGUGUGUGCAUACAGGCCACCCUAGGCUACAUGAGACUUUGUCUCACAAGUAAUUAAAAGAGCAUUGGAGAAAUGGCUCAGUGUGCAAAGGUACUUGCAGCUAUCCCUGAUGACCUGUGUUCAGCACCCAGAAUUCACAUGAUGGAAGAAAAAAACUGAGUCCUGAAAGUAGUUCAGUGUAGUCCUUUGACCACCACAAGUGUGUAAUAGCCAGGCCGUGGUGGCCCACACCUUUAAUCCCAGCACUCGGGAGGCAGAGCCAGGCGGAUCUCUGUGAGUUCAACGCCAGCCUGAGCUACAGAGUGAGUUCCAGGAAAGGCUCCAAAGCUGUACAGAGAAACCCUGUCUUUAAAAAAAAAAAAAAAGAAAAAAAGGAAAAAAAGUGUAAAAUAAAUAUAAUUAAAAUUAUCACUCUGGUAUAUAGUGCUAGUCGCAUUAUCUAGGUAAGGCACCCUUGUUCUUUGAACCUAUGAUGGUGCAGAUAAAAAGUGAUCAUCUUGCCGGGCGGUGGUGGCGCACGCCUUUAAUCCCAGCACUCGGGAGGCAGAGCCAAGCGGAUCACUGUGAG
Non-coding RNA from Peromyscus maniculatus bairdii (prairie deer mouse), 1335 nucleotides. The record is from RefSeq and is a predicted model, not a curated record. Lineage: Eukaryota; Metazoa; Chordata; Mammalia; Rodentia; Cricetidae.